RNAcentral lists this small RNA (30 nucleotides) under Bombyx mori (domestic silkworm). RNAcentral's name for it is "piRNA piR-bmo-2050296". Lineage: Eukaryota; Metazoa; Arthropoda; Insecta; Lepidoptera; Bombycidae. The record is from RNAcentral.
UCCUCAACAAUUGUGGUGUGUAAUCUCCCC